GAGUUUGAUCCUGGCUCAGGACGAACGCUGGCGGCGUGCUUAACACAUGCAAGUCGAAUGAUGAAGUUAUGACGGAGGCUUCGGCCGACUGAAUGAUGGAUUAGUGGCGGACGGGUGAGUAACGCGUGAGUAACCUGCCUUUCAGAGAGGAAUAACAUUUGGAAACGAAUGGUAAUACCACAUAACAUUACGUUCUCGCAUGGGGAUGUAAUCAAAGAUUUAUCGCUGAGAGAUGGACUCGCGUCCGAUUAGCUAGAUGGUGAGGUAACGGCCCACCAUGGCGACGAUCGGUAGCCGGACUGAGAGGUUGAACGGCCACAUUGGGACUGAGACACGGCCCAGACUCCUACGGGAGGCAGCAGUGGGGAAUAUUGCACAAUGGGGGAAACCCUGAUGCAGCAACGCCGCGUGAAGGAAGACGGUCUUCGGAUUGUAAACUUUUGUUCUUGGUGAAGAAUAAUGACGGUAGCCAAGGAGGAAGCCACGGCUAACUACGUGCCAGCCGCCGCGGUAAUUC
This 517-nucleotide ribosomal RNA is filed under the name uncultured bacterium. RNAcentral's name for it is "bacterial SSU rRNA". It matches the Rfam family "Bacterial small subunit ribosomal RNA", at positions 9 to 526 of the family's 1533-position model. The record is from RNAcentral.